CAGAAAAUAGUUUAUUUAAAAAUAUUAAUUUUGGAGAUUAAUGAUAGAAGAAUUUUUCUUUUUCUGA
RNAcentral lists this transfer RNA (67 nucleotides) under Erotylidae sp. BMNH 1274392. Its description in RNAcentral is "tRNA-Pro". Lineage: Eukaryota; Metazoa; Arthropoda; Insecta; Coleoptera; Erotylidae. The record is from RNAcentral.